This 500-nucleotide ribosomal RNA is filed under the name uncultured bacterium. RNAcentral describes it as "partial 16S ribosomal RNA". It matches the Rfam family "Bacterial small subunit ribosomal RNA", at positions 30 to 523 of the family's 1533-position model. The record is from RNAcentral.
AUUGAACGCUGGCGGCAUGCCUUACACAUGCAAGUCGAACGGCAGCACGGGAGCAAUCCUGGUGGCGAGUGGCGAACGGGUGAGUAAUGUAUCGGAACGUGCCCAGUCGUGGGGGAUGACGUAGCGAAAGCUACGCUAAUACCGCAUACGAUCUAUGGAUGAAAGCGGGGGAUCGCAAGACCUCGCGCGAUUGGAGCGGCCGAUAUCAGAUUAGGUAGUUGGUGGGGUAAAGGCCCACGAAGCCGACGAUCUGUAGCUGGUCUGAGAGGACGACCAGCCACACUGGGACUGAGACACGGCCCAGACUCCUACGGGAGGCAGCAGUGGCGAAUUGUGGACAAUGGGCGCGAGCCUGAUUCAGCAAUGCCGCGUGCAGGAGGAAGGCCUUCGGGUUGUAAACUGCUUUUGUACGGAACGAAACGGCGAGCUCUAAUACAGUUUGCUAAUGACGGUACCGUAAGAAUAAGCACCGGCUAACUACGUGCCAGCCGCCGCCGUAA